RNAcentral lists this transfer RNA (76 nucleotides) under Planctomycetota bacterium. RNAcentral's name for it is "tRNA-Arg". It matches the Rfam family "tRNA". From Rfam's summary of the family: Transfer RNA (tRNA) molecules are approximately 80 nucleotides in length. Their secondary structure includes four short double-helical elements and three loops (D, anti-codon, and T loops). Lineage: Bacteria; Pseudomonadati; Planctomycetota. The record is from RNAcentral.
ACGCCAGUAGCUCAACGGAUAGAGCACCGGAUUUCUAAUCCGGCGGUUGUGGGUUCGAUUCCCUCCUGGCGUGCCA